This 149-nucleotide non-coding RNA is filed under the name Foraminifera environmental sample. Lineage: Eukaryota; Foraminifera. The record is from RNAcentral.
AGCAACAAUCGCAAUCUCUGUCGUUGCAGCGCCCCACGCAUGGCCAUUACCACUCAGUGCCACACCCAGCCACUGCGCAUUACCGUGCUGUUCCUGCGCGACAGCCCAUCAACUCGUACUCGCAUCCACCGCCAGUGCUCAAUGCGAGU